UACGGAGGUGGCAAGCGUUGCUCGGAAUCACUGGGCGUAAAGAGCUCGUAGGCGGCUCAGUAAGUCGGAUGUGAAAACUCGGGGCUCAACCCCGAGACGCCAUCCGAUACUGCUGUGGCUUGAGUCUGGUAGGGGAGAACGGAAUUCCUGGUGUAGCGGUGAAAUGCGCAGAUAUCAGGAGGAACACCAAUUGCGAAGGCAGCUCGCUGGGACGUUACUGACGCUGAGACGCGAAAGCGUGGGGAGCAAACAGG
RNAcentral lists this ribosomal RNA (254 nucleotides) under uncultured bacterium. RNAcentral describes it as "partial 16S ribosomal RNA". It matches the Rfam family "Bacterial small subunit ribosomal RNA", at positions 524 to 776 of the family's 1533-position model. The record is from RNAcentral.